GACGAACGCUGGCGGCGUGCUUAACACAUGCAAGUCGAACGGAAAGGCCCUGCUUUUGUGGGGUGCUCGAGUGGCGAACGGGUGAGUAACACGUGAGUAACCUGCCCUUGACUUUGGGAUAACUUCAGGAAACUGGGGCUAAUACCGGAUAGGAGCUCCUGCUGCAUGGUGGGGGUUGGAAAGUUUCGGCGGUUGGGGAUGGACGCGCGGCUUAUCAGCUUGUUGGUGGGGUAGUGGCUUACCAAGGCUUUGACGGGUAGCCGGCCUGAGAGGGUGACCGGCGACAUUGGGACUGAGGUACGGCCCAGACUCGUACGGGAGGCAGCAGUGGGGAAUAUUGCACAAUGGGCGGAAGCCUGAUGCAGAAACGCCGCGUGCGGGAUGACGGCCUUCGGGUUGUAAACCGCUUUCGCCUGUGACGAAGCGUGAGUGACGGUAAUGGGUAAAGAAGCACCGGCUAACUACGUG
Molecule: ribosomal RNA, 468 nt
Filed under: uncultured bacterium
Lineage: Bacteria
Description: partial 16S ribosomal RNA
Rfam family: Bacterial small subunit ribosomal RNA
Source: RNAcentral